CCUACGGGUGGCAGCAGUGAGGAAUAUUGGUCAAUGGACGCAAGGCUGAACCAGCCAAGUCGCGUGAAGGAAGAAGGAUCUAUGGGUUGUAAACUUCUUUUGUAGGGGAAUAAAGGUAGCCACGUGUGGCUAUUUGCAUGUAACCUAUGAAUAAGCAUCGGCUAACUCCGUGCCAGCAGCCGCGGUAAUACGGAGGAGGCGAGCGUUAUCCGGAUUUAUUGGGUUUAAAGGGUGCGUAGGUGGUUUUUUAAGUCAGCGGUGAAAGUUUGUGGCUCAACCAUAAAAUUGCCGUUGAUACUGGAAGACUUGAGUGUGUUUGCGGUAGGCGGAAUGCGUGGUGUCGCGG
This 346-nucleotide ribosomal RNA is filed under the name uncultured bacterium. Its description in RNAcentral is "partial 16S ribosomal RNA". It matches the Rfam family "Bacterial small subunit ribosomal RNA", at positions 338 to 681 of the family's 1533-position model. The record is from RNAcentral.